AUCGAAUUAUUUGAUUAUAAUUAUGAACUUCACCUAGAGCUAAUUUUUUUAUUAAUCGCAACCUUGGAAAUCCAGAUAAAAAUUAGGUGUUCCAAAAAGAAUCGAAAUUAAAAAAAAAAACUAAAAUAAAUUGUUUCAUAAAUCAUAUUAGAAAAAACAAAAGAUUUUCUAAAACACAUUAACAAAUUUGAUUUCACAAUUUAGUAGCAAUUACACCAUGCAUGUCAAUUAAGUGUCUU
RNAcentral lists this long non-coding RNA (239 nucleotides) under Solanum tuberosum (potato). RNAcentral describes it as "long non-coding RNA (STUB_LNC004589)". The record is from RNAcentral. Lineage: Eukaryota; Viridiplantae; Streptophyta; Magnoliopsida; Solanales; Solanaceae.